This 23-nucleotide non-coding RNA is filed under the name Arabidopsis thaliana (thale cress). Lineage: Eukaryota; Viridiplantae; Streptophyta; Magnoliopsida; Brassicales; Brassicaceae. The record is from RNAcentral.
AAGACAUCUUCUUUCUAUUGUGC